RNAcentral lists this ribosomal RNA (492 nucleotides) under uncultured bacterium. RNAcentral's name for it is "partial 16S ribosomal RNA". It matches the Rfam family "Bacterial small subunit ribosomal RNA", at positions 29 to 507 of the family's 1533-position model. The record is from RNAcentral.
AGUGAACGCUGGCGGUAGGCCUAACACAUGCAAGUCGAACGGCAGCACAGUAAGAGCUUGCUCUUACGGGUGGCGAGUGGCGGACGGGUGAGGAAUACAUCGGAAUCUACUUUUUCGUGGGGGAUAACGUAGGGAAACUUACGCUAAUACCGCAUACGACCUACGGGUGAAAGCAGGGGAUCUUCGGACCUUGCGCGAUUGAAUGAGCCGAUGUCGGAUUAGCUAGUUGGCGGGGUAAAGGCCCACCAAGGCGACGAUCCGUAGCUGGUCUGAGAGGAUGAUCAGCCACACUGGAACUGAGACACGGUCCAGACUCCUUCGGGAGGCAGCAGUGGGGAAUAUUGGACAAUGGGCGCAAGCCUGAUCCAGCCAUACCGCGUGGGUGAAGAAGGCCUUCGGGUUGUAAAGCCCUUUUGUUGGGAAAGAAAAGCAGCAGGUUAAUACCCCGCUGUUCUGACGGUACCCAAAGAAUAAGCACCGGCUAACUUCGUG